AACGAACGCUGGCGGCAUGCCUAACACAUGCAAGUCGAACGAGAUCUUCGGGUCUAGUGGCGCACGGGUGCGUAACGCGUGGGAAUCUACCCUUUGGUUCGGAAUAACAGUUGGAAACGACUGCUAAUACCGGAUGAUGACGAAAGUCCAAAGAUUUAUCGCCAGAGGAUGAGCCCGCGUAGGAUUAGCUAGCUGGUGUGGUAAAGGCGCACCAAGGCGACGAUCCUUAGCUGGUCUGAGAGGAUGAUCAGCCACACUGGGACUGAGACACGGACCAGACUCCUACGGGAGGCAGCAGUGGGGAAUAUUGGACAAUGGGCGAAAGCCUGAUCCAGCAAUGCCGCGUGAGUGAUGAAGGCCUUAGGGUUGUAAAGCUCUUUUACCCGGGAUGAUAAUGACAGUACCGGGAGAAUAAGCUCCGGCUAACUCCGUGCCAGCAGCCGCAGUAA
Molecule: ribosomal RNA, 449 nt
Filed under: uncultured bacterium
Lineage: Bacteria
Description: partial 16S ribosomal RNA
Rfam family: Bacterial small subunit ribosomal RNA
Source: RNAcentral